Molecule: ribosomal RNA, 967 nt
Filed under: Otitoma sp. MNHN IM 2013-9848
Lineage: Eukaryota; Metazoa; Mollusca; Gastropoda; Neogastropoda; Turridae
Description: 12S ribosomal RNA
Rfam family: Microsporidia small subunit ribosomal RNA (bases 249-967)
Source: RNAcentral
UCUUACUAGAAGUAAUUUAUUUGUUUUUUNUAAUAAAACUUUAAAUAAAAAAACCAAUUCACAUAUACAUUAAUAUAUUAGAAUAAACUUGGCUCUGAUUUAUUUAUAUAGCAUAAACUAAGGAAUACACAUGGUUUUUUUAGAAAGAGACGAGGUAGAAGAGUGAAUAAUUAUAAAUUUAUAAUUUAUGGUUUAUUUUUCUUUUAAGGUAUUAUAAUAUUAAAAAAUGCCUUGAAAAGUCCCGUUAGCACCAGUGUUGAAGUUUAAUUUAAGAGUGAAAGCUUGUAUUAAUUUAGUAAAAUAAAUUUGGUUAACUUGGUGCCAGCAUCCGCGGUUACACCAAGAAAUUAAGUUAUAUAUUGUAUGGUAAAAAGACAGUUAGACAAAUCAUUAUAUUAUAAAGUUAUACAACUUUUUUUAGAAAAGUAAAAUUUGAAUAAUAACUUCUAAACCAAAAAUAACUUGUAAGUUGAAUCUGUGAAAACCUUGAGGGAAACUGGGAUUAGAUACCCCAUUAUUCUUGGUCUUAAAUUAAUUACAAUUUACCAGAGUACUAUGAAUCUAAUAAAAUUUAAAACUCAAAGAGCUUGGCGGUGCUUUAGACCACUUAGGGGAACCUGUCUCAUAAUCGAUAAUCCACGUCACACCUAGCCUUUUUUUGUACACAGCUUGUAUACCGUUGUCGUCAGGUAACUUUUUAGAAAUUAGAAGUUAGCUAAUAGUUAGUAUAAACUGAAACGUCAAAUCAAGGUGCAGUUAAUAAAGAGGAGAGGAUGGGUUACAAUUAUAUAAUUAUAAUUACGGAGAGUCUUUAGAACUAAAGACUUGAAGGAGGACUUGAAAGUAAAAACAAAUUAUAUAAAUAUUUUGAAUAUGGCUCUGAAGCGUGCACACAUCGCCCGUCGCUCUUGUUGGAAAAUAAGAUAAGUCGUAACAUAGUAGGGGUAAUGGAAAUUGUUCCUGAACU